RNAcentral lists this ribosomal RNA (509 nucleotides) under uncultured bacterium. Its description in RNAcentral is "bacterial SSU rRNA". It matches the Rfam family "Bacterial small subunit ribosomal RNA", at positions 29 to 518 of the family's 1533-position model. The record is from RNAcentral.
AGUGAACGCUGGCGGCAGGCCUAACACAUGCAAGUCGAGCGGCAGCGCGUCCGACCACCCUCGGGUGGUCGGAUGGCGGCGAGCGGCGGACGGGUGAGGAAUGCAUCGGAAUCUGCCUCGUUGUGGGGGAUAACGUAGGGAAACUUACGCUAAUACCGCAUACGACCUACGGGUGAAAGUGGGGGACCUUCGGGCCUCACGCGAUGAGAUGAGCCGAUGCCGGAUUAGCUAGUUGGCGGGGUAAAGGCCCACCAAGGCGACGAUCCGUAGCUGGUCUGAGAGGAUGAUCAGCCACACUGGAACUGAGACACGGUCCAGACUCCUACGGGAGGCAGCAGUAGGGAAUAUUGGACAAUGGGGGCAACCCUGAUCCAGCCAUGCCGCGUGAGUGAAGAAGGCCCUCGGGUUGUAAAGCUCUUUUGUCCGGAAAGAAAAGCAAUCGGUUAAUACCCGGUUGUUCUGACGGUACCGGAAGAAUAAGCACCGGCUAACUUCGUGCCAGCAGCCGA